This 232-nucleotide ribosomal RNA is filed under the name uncultured bacterium. Its description in RNAcentral is "partial 16S ribosomal RNA". It matches the Rfam family "Bacterial small subunit ribosomal RNA", at positions 1259 to 1500 of the family's 1533-position model. The record is from RNAcentral.
GACACCGAGCAGAACCGAAAGCCGUUCUCAGUUCGGAUCGGAGUCUGCAACCCGACUCCGUGAAGCUGGAUUCGCUAGUAAUCGCGCAUCAGCCAUGGCGCGGUGAAUACGUUCCCGGGCCUUGUACACACCGCCCGUCAAGCCAUGGGAGCCGGGGGUGCUUGAAGUGCGUCGCCGCAAGGCGCGCCCUAGAGCAAAACCGGUGACUGGGGCUAAGUCGUAACAAGGUAGC